AUGGCAGUAGCACAAACGACCACCAUCUUCUCCUCUGCCAUCAUCAUCGUGCUCUUUUCCUCGUCAAUUGUUGCUCAUACUAGCGGUGAUGUUGGUGGCAAGCCGAAGGCAGCCGAUUUCGUGACAAAGAAAUCCACCUCACGGAGAAAUUCUGUGUCUCGACCCUCCGGUCGGACAACCGAAGCGGCAAGGCUAAGGACCUUCGUGACCUGGCACUCAUUGGCGUAG
RNAcentral lists this ribosomal RNA (228 nucleotides) under Triticum aestivum (bread wheat). RNAcentral describes it as "partial small subunit ribosomal RNA". Lineage: Eukaryota; Viridiplantae; Streptophyta; Magnoliopsida; Poales; Poaceae. The record is from RNAcentral.